This 405-nucleotide unclassified non-coding RNA is filed under the name soil metagenome. RNAcentral describes it as "partial contains 5.8S ribosomal RNA, internal transcribed spacer 2, and large subunit ribosomal RNA". The stretch from base 1 to 121 matches the Rfam family "5.8S ribosomal RNA", at positions 35 to 154 of the family's 154-position model. The record is from RNAcentral.
GAUGAAGAACGUAGCGAAAUGCGAUAAGUAAUGUGAAUUGCAGAAUUCAGUGAAUCAUCGAAUCUUUGAACGCACCUUGCGCCCUUUGGCCAUUCCGAAGGGCAUGCCUGUUUGAGUAUCAUGAACACCUCAACUCUUUAUGGUUUUCCAUGAUGAGCUUGGACUUUGGGGGUUUUGCUGGCCUAUGGUCGGCUCCUCUAAAAUAAAUCAGCUUACCGGUGUUUGGUGGGUAUCAUGGGUGUGAUAACUCUCUACGCUUGUGGUUUUUCCACCAGGUAACCUUCGACAGCGGAGGUUCACUGGAGCUCAUAGAUGUCUCUCCUCAGCGAGGACAGCCCUUUGAAUGUUUGAUCUCAAAUCAGGUAGGACUACCCGCUGAACUUAAGCAUAUCAAUAAGCGGAGGA